CCUGCGUCGGUUUCACUCUGCAGGAACUCAGUGUUGCUGUAUGACUGUCUGACCUUCUUUGCAAAGAAUAAAAGCUUUAUUUUUAAUUAUACCUGAGAAUGAGUCUGUCUCUUAUGCUGAUGAGAGUUGAUUAAAAAUUUUGCCACGGCAGACACAACGAAGCAUAUCAUCAAGCAGUGGAAACACUGUGUCAACGGAUCAAGACUGACUUUCCAGUCAGAGUGAACACCUCCAAAAUCACGAAGAAGAGCAGGGGACAAAGUCUGUCUCAGGCUGAUCCAGAUGUUUGCUUUUACUGGUGCAGAAGGGACAUUGAAAAAUUUCACUGUGCACAUUUGAUCAACCAAACGGCGGCUGGACCAGAGAAAGCUGAGGCAGACUGACAACAGAGACUUUCACAGCAGAACCUGGAGAAGAAGGGGGGAGUCGGGAGCAAAGUCCACCAAGGCCACGCAGCACAAACAGAUAAGUCUGAAAACACACACAUUUUCUCUAAAGCUCACUGCAAUGAAGAAAGAAUGCUUGCUCAUGUUUCUGCUCACUGCAACGAAGAAAAUAUGCUUGCUCAUAUUUCCGCUCUUAGCAAUGAAGAAAAAUGCUUGCUUUAAUACAUGAUCAUAUUGAAAGAUUAGAAAAUGAUAAAUCUUCUCUCGACAAGAACAUAGGCACAUAAAUUAGCUUACAAACAAAUGCCACAUAGAUUAUGGGUUAAUGGAGUUGAAAAACUAAUUAGAAAGGAUGAAAUAGAUCCAAUUCCAAAAAUUACGUGGAAAUUUAGUUUGGUCUAUUACUGCAUCUGGUUAUAUGGUCAGAGAAAAUUUCACUGUACCAUUGAGAUGUAAAGAUUAGAAUGGCAUUAACUUUAAGCAUUGUUUACUAAAAAAACUUUUGUCAGAAAACUGCCUUCAAAAUGAGUAAGAAAGAGAUUUAAUGUGAAACUGGGAAGUGGCCCAGUGCCAAAUUCAAACUUCAGCUCAAUCCAACAAUGGCAGUUCUAUAUUUACCAGUGUAAACGCAAAGAUGAUGAAUUAUGUGAAAAGUUUGUCAAGGCUGCAAAAAACAGUUUCACCUAAUUCUGAAUUAAGCAAUUCUCUGAUUUACAUUGCUCAGCACAUAUAUCAUUGGGAAAAGAUUACAUUUUAGAACAAAAAUGGUUUUAUGUAUAGAAACAGACCUGAAAUAGUUAAUUGAGACAUAAAAUAGAUGCGCUGUUUCUAUUGAUUUGAGAAACAGCAAAUGUUGUUUGAUUCUCUUCCACAUGUUUCAUUGUCCAAAAAAGAACAAUGACCAUAGGGAAGACAUUGGUUUAUUUGUAUAUGUGUAUUUUUCAUGUGAAUUGGGUGGAGACAGCAGAGGAAAAUGUUGAAUACAAUCCAACACUGUCUGCAUACCGAAUGUGUUUGCACGGGACUGCUGUUAAAGCUGUACGUACAGUAUGUGAUUGAUGACACAAUGACAACAACCUUUCUCUCAGGAGAGAAAGCAGAGACUCACCCAGUGCUCAAAGAAUUCCCUACAACACUUUGGGUUUUAUCUAAAUUUGACUUGGGGCUUGUUAAAAAUUGGGAACCAGUUCAAGUCAAUCCAAAAUCUGAUUACAGACUCUGUGAACACCAGUUUUUGAAUCAUUAAGAGCAGCUGGGGUAAUUGUGCUCUGUGAAAAUUCUCCUGUGCAUACACCUAUUUUCACUGUUAAAAGAUAAAGAAAUAUGCAAACAAGACACUGUAAAACUUUUAAAACUUUUGGCUGCUGAGGGUCAUAAGCCAGUUUAUUAAAACUGCAGUUUGUAAAAAGGGAGGAGACAUUUUUUGGUCAUCAUCACUAAAAAUGGCAAAUUUUAAUCUGAGAAACAAAAAGAGACAAUUCAAAAGAUUCUAAAGCCUAUCAUGAAAAAGCAACUAAUGUCAUUUUGGGGCAUGUGUUCGUAUUGUUGAACGUUCAUUCCAAAUUAUGUUAUCAAAGAAUUGCCCCUGAGCGCUUUGGCUCAUGGGAAGGGAUUGCAACCCCAUGACAAACUGACCUGGAUUCCAGAAGCAGAGAGUGCAUUUAAGAAUAUAUUAUUGCUACAAACAUCACCAACCCUAGGACUCCCAGACCCAGAGAGAAAUUUUGGACAAACUGUUGAUAAGAGAAUGGGUUUCUGACUUCUGUUCUGUUACAGGAUCGUGGGGGAGACCUGUGGCCUAUUUUUAGAGUUAGCUCGAUCCGGUAACGGCAGGCAGUCCAAAAUGCCUGAGUGCUGUUGAAUAUGCAGAAAAGGCUAUUUUAGCUUCAAGGGAAAUUGUGGGGUACUCUGAUGUGACUUUGCUCAGGCCACGCACUGUCUCUGUGAUUCUGUUGGAACAGAAAACAUCCCAUUUGUCAACGGCCAGGUGUCUCCGGUACAAUGCAAUUCUAUUAGAAAUGCCAAACAUCACAAUUAAAUGAUGCACAGUGUUAAAUCCAGCUACACUGCUCCAUACGAAGCAGGAUGGGGAAGAACACAAUUGUGUUGCCACAUUUGAACAGGUCUGUCAACCAAGACCAGAUUUUAAAAGACACCCCCUUAGAAAUUGCUGACUUAAUUUUAUUAAUUGAUGGUUCGAGACCCCCCCCCCCCAAAAAAAACAGAGCAAGUUAAGCUGCAACCACUGCAUAUGCAACAAUAAGAUCUGGAGCGCUCCACGUUCAUUGCUCUUCGCAAGCGGCUGAAUUGAUAGCAUUGAUGGAAGCUUGCAAAAUUGCUGAUGGACGAACAGUUACCAUUUACACAAAUUCUUGUUUCUCUUUUGGGGUUUGUCAUGAUUUUGGGGCAUUGUGGAAACACAGGAAAUUUCUAAAGUCUAAUGGUAAGCCUGAUUUAAAUACAAUUUGAUAAAAUAGCAGCAUUGUUAGAAGCAAUUUUGUUACCAAAGUUAGUUGCUAUCUGCAAAUGCGUCACACAUUCCAAAAGUUAUGAUUUUGUGAUUUUAGGUAACAAGUAAACUGAUACCACAGCGAAAGACACAGCUAUGAGAACAGAACCUUCUUUUACCUGUGUAACAUUUAACAAUGAUUAAUUCACACUCCCUUCUGAUUAUCUUACAGCUAUGCAAGCUUUUGCCACACCAGACGACAAGAAACAAUGGGUGAAGGCUGAGUGCAAGCUAUCUUUGGCCGAUUACUGAAGACAGACCAUGUCUGCCAAAACACUUUUUCCCACACUAUGCAAAACUUGUACAUGGCCUAGAUCACAUGAGUAAAGGGGGAAUGUUUGAUUUGUUAAAUUAAUAUUGUUCCAUAAAGGGAUUCACUUCCUUUGCAGACAGGUAUUGUCACUCAUGUAUGAUCUGUGCCACAAGCAAAGUGGACAGAGGACAAAUGAUGUCUCAAGCGGCACACCCAGUUCCAAAUCAGAGAAUUGAUAAUAUAAUGUACAAUUGAAAGCAUAACUGAUAAUGCAAAUAAAAUGAUCAGUCAGAUGUGACAUAAAAGAGAAAAUUAAUGAAGUGUUGUGAGCAGACAGGACUGUUUUGGGUAAAAGAACUCCCCAUUGUGUUCAUGUACAUGAGAAUGGCAAAAAGAAGAGUCUAACUUGAGUCCAUUUGAUAUUUUGUUUGGUAGGCCAACUUCCAAUGGAGUUGGACCAGAACCACAACCACUGUCCUCUACAGCCUUGUGUGAAGAUGACAUGCUGAAGUGUAGUAGAAAGUUGUCUCUUGUUCUCUCUCAGAUAUCUCAGCAGGUCAAGGAUGCUCUGCCCAAGCCAGCGGAAGGAGUCUGGCAUGAUAUCAGGUCUUGCUGAUAACACAGAGGUUAAAGUGGCAGAGGGAGCUACGUGGAUACACGCAAGUCACUGCAGGAAGGUUCGAGCACCACCAGAGGGCUACAGCUCAGUAAAGUGAUUGACCAGCUGCCCCGUGCCAAGGGGGAUGUCUGGCUGACUGAGGAAACUUGUUGGGGAGGAUUCGAUGUCUGUUGAGAACCAUGUGAAUGUGCUACAAAGUGAGUUUCAGAAAACACAUCCAGACACCUCGACUGUCAAAGUCCACACGGCACAAAAAGUCUCCUGGAGAUGUUGAGAAAGCAUGGAAGGAAUGUCUGUGGAGGAUGUACUCAAAAAAUACCCAUACUUAAGUACACCUGCUGGAGUAUCGUUGACUGUCAGUCUGUCAGUCUAGAUGUGAGGAAGACAUGCAGAGUGGAGUUGGAGCUCAGCAGAUCGAUCUAUCUAUCUAUCUAUCUAUCUAUCUAUCUAUCUAUCUAUCUAUCUAUCUAUCUAUCUAUCUAUCUAUCUAUCUAUCUAUCUAUCUAUCUAUAUAUCUAUCUAUAUAUAUCUAUCUUUUACUUGAAUUGGCAACUGAAACUGAAAGCUAAGUAAAAGUUUUAGUGGAUAAAGCUGUAUCUGUUUGCUUAAUUGGUUAACUUAAUUGGUUAAUGUCACUUAACUUAAGGUUACUAUAAACUCUUCUGACUAAUUUUUAAAUUUGAUAAUUUGUGUGAUCAAGAGACGUUUGGAUCCUCAAAAAAUAAUUGUAAUUUGUUUUUGAUUAUUGAUAAAUCAAGACCUAAACUUGCUGUGGUGAUGGCGUCAGUAACCCGCGCCAUGCAAAAGUUUUGAAGGUACUUUUAAAAGUAAUUGAAAAUAAUAUUCUUAAUAUCAUUAACAACGUUUUUACCUUUUAAUAAUUUAAGUUGGUUUUAUAGGGUUAUAUUGAAUGUAUUGCUUCCUUUUAAUCUGUAGGUGAUUAUGGCUUGCCAACAUUUUUUUUUUUUUUAACAGACAGCUUUCGCAUUACCUUUUGGCACGCCACCACCUUUGGCACGCCCAUUGCUCCAAGCUGCAGCUUCCCCACUAGCUUUUAUGUGCCUCACAUGUAGCUUUGUCUUUUGUUCAUCACCACUCACCUCUACACCAACACAAACACAACUGUAAAGGGAGGGGCUUCACUUCUGUGGCUCUCAGCACAUCUUAAAAAUCAAGUUUAGCCACGUAUGUUGGAAUCUGUCGAAGACUGUGAGGAGAUGGUGCUUUUCCAACAACAAAGUAUGAGGAACUUACGCGUUAUCUUAAUCUUUUCGUGCUGGUUGUAAUGGCAGCCCCCGCAGUUUUCUGUACUGCAGCUACCUCAGCAGUGUGCAAUGAUGCAUGCAGAACCAUGCAAAUGAUUUCAAGAUAGGGCUGAUCUGAAAACGAUAUCGUCCCUUUGGACAGGGAAGUGUAGGCCUACAAUGACCGUCAAAAUAUUACAAAUGUUAUAACAUUUUUUAGAUGAGCCUUUGUCCUAAGAUUUCUUUACUAUUCGACUAUUUUCUUCCCUCUUCAAAAAUAAAUAAAAAAAUAAAUAAUAAAAAUUCCCUUCUUCCAAAACCUUUUUUCUGUCUUCAAAAACGUUUUUCUCUACAAGAAGCAACACAAGAAAACAGAAAUAAGUUAUAUAUACAAAGAAAAAAAAAGUGUAUGAGUGUUUGCAUCAGUGAAAGUAGGUCUAUAAGUUCUUAGUAUUCAAUAGCAUACAGUCAAUAUUCAUACUGGUUUUCCCAAAUGUUACUUGUUUUGUUUAAAUUUGCUCAGUAUAUAGUGGUGGAAAAAAAACAAGCAAAAAAAUUUAUAAAACUAAAUUAUAGUAAUAUCUUAAAAACCAACUUGCAAUUUGACUCCAUUAGUAUUAUACAAAAAAAUUUGGUUUAGGAACAUGUACACUUUUGCACAUUUGCAUAGACUUUGUAUAUUUAAAUGAAUUAUGUAGCAUUAGAGAUCUACAAAUUCCGAUGAACUGUAUUAUAGGUUAAAGUAAUAUAAAAAUAUUUCAAUCAAUAUAUAUGGAUUUAUUUUUUUGUAUUUAUUCAUUGAUAUAUUUCAGAAUUCAUCAUGCUUAAUUCGUGUUACUUAAAAUGUAUCUAACCAUUAUGUUUUUUUAUACUGUUGAAAAAUUGUUAUGUUAAGUGUGUCAUUGGCAUCUAUCCACCUAUUUCUUCAACACGGAAGUAAGCCUAUGGGUGAGACUUCCAGGUUCAUUAGAAGCAAGGAGAAUAACAAACCUGAAGUAAAGGGUAAAACGGUUUGCACUACAUAACCAGUGUGCUCUUAAUUAAAAAAAAAACAUUAAAAUAAUAUGAUAAGACACACCAACUUUCAAUAUCAAGCAGCAAACGAAUUGUUUUGUUAAGCUAAAAAUAGCUGGACGGAGUGGACGCAGAUGAGACCGGAAACCAGACCCAUAGAAUACACAAAUGACCCCGCCCAUUUUUACGACAAGAAAAAGGUGAAUACAAUAGCCAGUAAUGUGUUUAUUUAAGUUAAAGUGUAUAUUCAUAAACACAUGU
Molecule: long non-coding RNA, 6286 nt
Organism: Carassius auratus (goldfish)
Lineage: Eukaryota; Metazoa; Chordata; Actinopteri; Cypriniformes; Cyprinidae
Exons: 3
Source: RefSeq, a predicted model, not a curated record